Molecule: long non-coding RNA, 866 nt
Organism: Pipra filicauda (Wire-tailed manakin)
Lineage: Eukaryota; Metazoa; Chordata; Aves; Passeriformes; Pipridae
Exons: 3
Source: RefSeq, a predicted model, not a curated record
GGCAGUGCUGGCAGCACCAGCAGCACGCCCAGGGGAGCCUCUCACACACCCCUUCCCAGCGGGAUCACCCUGGGUGGCACUUUGCCAAUAGAGACAAGCGCUGCCCGUGUUCCCUUCCCUGGAAUGUAAACACAUCCCAGUGUUGGAACCAGAAAUCCACUCAAAAUCCACUCAUCCCUAAUUGCUGGGAGUUGUUACUGUGAUUGCAGUAAAACCAGCGAGGUAGAGAAACAAAAAGAGAGGGAAAACUAAACCCAUCCCCUGGGCUCUCCAGCAGUUCUGCAAACACGUCUCCAAGUUUGAUUUUUUUCUCUCCCUGCAUAAACAAACGCUUCUGUAGUACUUGCUGUAAUCUUGUUUGCUCCAUAACCACUCCUAGGAAUGUCAUAAAAAAUUUAACUCUAAUAUUUUACCACUCCACACAAACACGAACGUGAAUAAAUGCUUAUCUCCCACGUAGGGAACUGUACAUCAGCAUGAAAGCACACAGGAAUCAACCUCAGGCUGGAAGAACUGGACCCACACAGGCGGAGAAAAAACAAAAUCCAAGAGGACCCAAAGAUUUGGUUUCCUCUAAAAAGCCUCUUCCCAGAGGAGUAGAGGGCUACACUCGCCAGAAGGGAGCGGGUUAAUCGCUCCCAGGAGGAAAAGUGCAGAGCAGCUAGAAUUGUGGUGCCCCGCUGCAGCCAAGCACCUGCAGAGACUAAAAGAAGUUUCACCACUGACCUCAGGAGAAGCUGGACUGGGACCCACCACUGUACUCCAGACCCCGAGAAGCACAGAUUACAAGUGGGACAGACAGAUUACCAGUGGGACAGACAUUUUACCAGGGGGCAAAUGUGCCAGUUUUUUAAGAAGUGCUGCAU